RNAcentral lists this ribosomal RNA (833 nucleotides) under uncultured Bacteroidota bacterium. RNAcentral describes it as "bacterial SSU rRNA". It matches the Rfam family "Bacterial small subunit ribosomal RNA", at positions 31 to 869 of the family's 1533-position model. The record is from RNAcentral. Lineage: Bacteria; Pseudomonadati; Bacteroidota.
GAACGCUAGCGGCAGGCCUAACACAUGCAAGUCGAGGGAGAAGCCCUUUCGGGGGCAGAAACCGGCGCACGGGUGCGUAACGCGUAUGCAACCUACCUUUCACAGGGAGAUAGCCCGAAGAAAUUUGGAUUAAUACCCCAUAAUAUUGUUGGAUGGCAUCAUCUGGCAAUUAAAACUGCGGUGGUGAAAGAUGGGCAUGCGUCCUAUUAGCUAGUUGGAGUGGUAACGGCACCCCAAGGCUACGAUAGGUAGGGGUCCUGAGAGGGAGAUCCCCCACACUGGUACUGAGACAGGGACCAGACUCCUACGGGAGGCAGCAGUGAGGAAUAUUGGUCAAUGGUCGGAAGACUGAACCAGCCAUGCCGCGUGCAGGAAGAAUGCCUUAUGGGUUGUAAACUGCUUUUAUAUGGGAAGAAUAAGGUGUACGAGUACAUUGAUGACGGUACCAUAUGAAUAAGCAUCGGCUAACUCCGUGCCAGCAGCCGCGGUAAUACGGAGGAUGCGAGCGUUAUUCGGAAUCAUUGGGUUUAAAGGGUCUGUAGGCGGGCUAUUAAGUCAGGGGUGAAAGGUUUCAGCUUAACUGAGAAAUUGCCUUUGAUACUGGUAGUCUUGAAUAUCUGUGAAGUUCUUGGAAUGUGUAGUGUAGCGGUGAAAUGCUUAGAUAUUACACAGAACACCGAUUGCGAAGGCAGGGGACUAACAGACAAUUGACGCUGAGAGACGAAAGCGUGGGGAGCGAACAGGAUUAGAUACCCUGGUAGUCCACGCUGUAAACGAUGGAUACUAGCUGUUUGGUGAUAAGCUGAGUGGCUAAGCGAAAGUGAUAAGUAUCC